GGAGGAAUACCCAAGUCCGGCUGAAGGGAUCGGUCUUGAAAACCGACAGGGGCUUAACGGCUCGAGGGGGUUCGAAUCCCUCUUCCUCCGCCA
This 93-nucleotide transfer RNA is filed under the name Staphylococcus aureus. RNAcentral describes it as "tRNA-Ser". It matches the Rfam family "tRNA". Rfam says of the family: Transfer RNA (tRNA) molecules are approximately 80 nucleotides in length. Lineage: Bacteria; Bacillati; Bacillota; Bacilli; Caryophanales; Staphylococcaceae. The record is from RNAcentral.